UACAGAGGGGGCAAGCGUUAUUCGGAAUUAUUGGGCGUAAAGGGCGCGUAGGCGGCAUGGCAAGUGGAUGGUGAAAUCCCUCGGCUUAACCGAGGAACUGCCGUCCAAACUGCUUCGCUUGAGACCGGGAGAGGUGAGUGGAAUUCCCAGUGUAGCGGUGAAAUGCGUAGAUAUUGGGAGGAACACCAGUGGCGAAGGCGGCUCACUGGACCGGUACUGACGCUGAGGCGCGAAGGCGUGGGGAGCGAACGGG
Molecule: ribosomal RNA, 253 nt
Filed under: uncultured bacterium
Lineage: Bacteria
Description: partial 16S ribosomal RNA
Rfam family: Bacterial small subunit ribosomal RNA
Source: RNAcentral